This 478-nucleotide ribosomal RNA is filed under the name uncultured bacterium. RNAcentral's name for it is "partial 16S ribosomal RNA". It matches the Rfam family "Bacterial small subunit ribosomal RNA", at positions 28 to 507 of the family's 1533-position model. The record is from RNAcentral.
GACGAACGCUGGCGGCGUGCUUAACACAUGCAAGUCGAACGGGCUGCCUGGUUUUCGGAUCGGGUGGUGAGUGGCGAACGGGUGAGUAACACGUGAGUAACCUGCCCCUCUCUUUGGGAUAACGUCGGGAAAUCGGCGCUAAUACCGGGUAUUCUGGCUUCCUCGCAUGGGGUUGUUGGGAAAGGUUUUUUCUGGUGGGGGAUGGGCUCGCGGCCUAUCAGCUUGUUGGUGGGGUGAUGGCCUACCAAGGCGGUGACGGGUAGCCGGCCUGAGAGGGUGUCCGGCCACACUGGGACUGAGACACGGCCCAGACUCCUACGGGAGGCAGCAGUGGGGAAUAUUGCACAAUGGGCGGAAGCCUGAUGCAGCGACGCCGCGUGGGGGAUGACGGCCGUCGGGUUGUAAACCUCUUUCAGUGCAGAACAAGGCUCUUUGUGGGUUGAGGGUAUGCGCAGAAGAAGCGCCGGCUAACUACGUG